Molecule: long non-coding RNA, 2094 nt
Organism: Equus caballus (horse)
Lineage: Eukaryota; Metazoa; Chordata; Mammalia; Perissodactyla; Equidae
Source: Ensembl
CUAUGACUCAGCAAUUUCAUUCCUGGGUAUAUAUCCAACAGAAAUGUGUACUUAGGAGCACCAAAAGACGUGUGCUAAAAUGGUCAAGAGAGCACUAGUCAUAAUAGUUCCAAACUGGAAAACUACACAAAGAUCUUCAACAGUAGAAUGGAUAAAUUUUAGUAUACCUACAAUGGAUUACUUACAGCAGUGAGAACGAUCUAUGACUACAUACUACGAUGUAGGAAUGCAGCAAGUCUGGGUGAAGGUCUCCAAGGCACAUACUGAGCAUUGCUGAGGAAGGCAGAAGGUGACAGUGGCUAGUGCCAUUAAGAGACUUGCAACAGUGGAGGAGGAGGAACAGGGAAAACUAGUGGGAAAGACCAAAAGACCAAGUGUCACCACUUCUCUUGAAUGUCAAGAAAACUCAAAUCUGCUAGAAACAAAAGUGGAAUAGCAAGACCUCCGUUCUCUUUCCCUCCUCCCAAUCAGUUUCUCUACUGCAUUGUGCCAGGAAACAUGAAACCCCAGCAGGGACUCCAGAUGACAGCUCUCAGCAGGACACCUCGCCAAUCACUCUUAAGAUUGGUACUGACCUUUAGAAUUUUCCCCCACGAACAGUGCCCCCCUCCCCCAACUUCUUUCUGUCAGCAGCAGUACGUAGACCUAGCAGCAGCAAUUUCCACAAGCUUUUUGUAUUAGAAAUGAUAACUAGGGUGAGCAUAUAAUUUAUUGUCCAAACUGGAACAUCUUUUUUAAAUGUAGGCACUGGGAGAGUUUUUAAAGUUUUUAUUUUGAGAUAACUGUAUAUGCACAUGCAGCUGUAUGAAAUAAUACAGAGAGAUCCCUGAUACUGCUUACCCACUUUCCCCCAGUAGUAACAUAUUGCAAAACUGUAGUAGAAUAUCACAACCAGGAAACUGACAUUGUUGCAAUCCACUUACCUUAUUCAGAUUUCACUAGUUUUACAUGCAUUCCUUUGUGUGUGUGCAUCUUGCUCUAUGCAAUUUUAUCACAUGUGUAGAAUACUGUGACCACCACCACAGUCAAAAUACAGAAGAGUUCCAUCACAAAGAUCCCUUGUAUUGCCCUUUUAUAACCACUCUCACCUCCUCCCGGCCCUGCCUCCCCCUGCCCCAACCAGGCCCUGGCAACCACUAAUCUGUUCUCCAUCUCUACAAUUUUGUCAUUUCAAAACUUUUAUAUGAAUGGAAUAAUACAGGAUAUAACCUGUUGGGAUUGUCUUUGGUUUUUUUUUUAACUCAGAAUAAUUUCCUUGAGAUCCAGUCAACUUGUUGCAAGUAUUAGUAGUUGCUUUUUAUACCAUUCCAUGGUAUGGAUACACCACAUUUUGUUUAUCCAUUCAACAGUUGAUGGACAUUGUGUUUUUUCCAGUUUGGGGCUAUUAUGAAUAAAGAUGCUAUGACCAUUUGAGUACAAGUUUUGUGUGGGCAUGAGUCUUUAUUUCUUUGGGAUAAAUGCCCAAGAAUGUACUAUCUAGGUUGUAUAGUAAGCACAAGUUUAGUUUUUAAAGAAACCACCAUACUCUUUUCCAGAGUGGCUGUAUCAGUUUACUUUCCCACUAGCAAUGUAUGAGUGAGCCAUCUCCUCUGCAUCAUUGCCAAAAUUUGAUGUUAUCACUAUUUUUUAUUUUAACCAUUCUAAUAAAUGUGUAGUGAUAUGCUGCAUAAUCCUGCUCACAGCAACAAUUGUUUUGUGAUUGUUCCAUGGAAAGCGGGAUCAACCUCCCACCCAAAUUUGGUUCAAAUGUUGAGACUGUUGACACCAAACACACACAGUAAGAGGGUAUGAAAAGAGGGAAUUAUUCACAUAACGGGACUUUUUUGGGGGGAAGCAAGUCAGGCACCCAAGCCAGUCUGUGAUGGCUUGAGUGAAGGGAGGGGCAAGCGGCUUUGGAUUUUACUAUGAUUAGGGAGUGGGGCCGGGAUGAGGAUUCCCAUGUGUGGGCAUGGAUUUUCAUGGUUUGACCUUCCCUGGAGGUGCCAAGGAGGGAGUACCCAGGCUUUCUUAUCAGCUUGCCCAGAUAGAGGGCAAAAGGGGAAGAAGGAGAGGUGGAACCUGGAUUUAGACACUUCAUUGUAAAUUGUUUUUGCA